GUCUAAGUGGGAGCAGUCUGAGUGGGAGCAGUCUAAGUGGCAGCAGUCUGAAGUGGGAGCAGUCUGAGUGGGAGCAGUCUAAGUGGGAGCAGUCUGAGUGGGAGCAGUCUGAGUGGGAGCAGUCUGAAUGGGAGCAGUCUAAGUGGGAGCAGUCUAAGUGGGAGCAGUCUGAGUGGGAGCAGUCUGAGUGGGAGCAGUCUGAGUGGGAGCAGUCUGAAGUGGGAGCAGUCUGAAGUGGGAGCAGUCUGAAGUGGGAGCAGUCUGAAGUGGGAGCAGUCUGAAGUGGGAGCAGUCUGAAGUGGGAGCAGUCUGAGUGGGAGCAGUCUGAAUGGGAGCAGUCUGAGUGGGAGCAGUCUGAGUGGGAGCAGUCUGAAGUGGGAGUAGUCUGAAGUGGGAGCAGUCUGAAGUGGGAGCAGUCUGAGUGGGAGCAGUCUGUGCUAGUAGUCUGAGUGGGAGCAGUCUGAGUGGCAGCAGUCUGAGUGGCAGCAGUCUGAAGUGGGAGAAGUCUGAAGUGGGAGCAGUCUGAAUGGGAGCAGUCUGAAGUGGGAGCAGUCUGGAGCAAACAUUUUCAGUCUAAAAACUGUACAUUUGUUUGGUUUAUUUUCUUGAAAGGUGGAAAUAUAAACAUUUGUAUAUUUACCAAUAUGUCAGGGAAGUUAACAUGUGUGUCAAGAAUCAUAAUCUAUACUGUAUAUAGACUUAGUCUCACAUCUAAAAUAACAAGGAUGCCAUGAAGGGGGUGAGAGGUCAUUAGACAAAAUAAGAUGACAAUGAAAUCACAAUGUUUAUUGCCACAAGGAACGACCAAAAUAAAAUGUAAAUGAAGUACGUUUUUUUUUAACAUGUAGUUCGCUGAUCUGCCUUUGAACUGGAUGCAUUGGCCCCUGAGAAAUAGUUUACAAUGUUGGCGCCUGUUAUCAUGAGGUUUUAUGUGCCCUCUAUGGGCCAUGCUGGCUCAGUGGUGCCUUCUACAGUGUCAUCAGAACGUGAUUAGCAAUACCUGCAAUACCUGUCCUACCUGCAGAACAAAAUUUGAAUAGGCUACAAUUUGAAUGUACUACUGCUAGGGACUGUCUAAUGAAUUAGUAAUUUUGCAUAACAAUCAAUCCAAAUAACAACAAUAAUGGAUGUGUUUCAUUUUCCUCUUCAUGAUAAUCAUAUAUGUGUGUAAUUCAUUGAUAGCUGACCCUUUGUUCCUAUAGCAAGUUACAGUAGGUCUACCCUUAAAGGUUAUUUUUUAAUUGUUUAUAUGUUUACCCAAAUUUGUACUUAUUGUUAGUAUAAACUUUAUAGACUAGCCUAGCCCUUAUGAGAAUCAUUGUGGACAAUAGUUUGUUUCCUUAUCAAACAACUUAACGCAUUGUUGUUUUUGGAAAGGUAGACC
Molecule: long non-coding RNA, 1384 nt
Filed under: Salmo salar (Atlantic salmon)
Lineage: Eukaryota; Metazoa; Chordata; Actinopteri; Salmoniformes; Salmonidae
Description: lncRNA (ENSSSAG00000097021.1)
Source: RNAcentral